AAAGUUAGCUCCAACAUGUUGUUUUCCUGAAAGUGUCUUGUUCGGCGUUCAGUUGUUCUAAAAGACACUCAGAGGAGUUGGCGGUUCAAUUAAUUCCGGUGACAAAGAGGCUCGCUGGUGCUGCUUCUGAAAUGGCUGCCUGGGUUACCAAUGUUGGUGUAUUGGCUUUCCAGGAUGGCGGCAGGAUUGAUGACACCGGAGGUGCCUGCCGUCUCAUCGAGGCAUAGUGGUCCUAGUUGGAGGGGAAGCACAGGAUGCUCGGCCUGACUGUUGCCAAGGUGAUCCUGAGGAUCUCCUGGGAGGAGUGGAGGCUCCACUGUUGGAGGAGGACACACGGGGCGGAGGAGACGGUCCUCCUCAUCCAGGAUCUCCAUGUCACCCUGGACGUCCCUUUGCUGGAUUCUCUCCACAUCUAGGACAUAUGGAGACACAGAGGUGUCACCUCAGCUGCACUCAGGACCCAGCAGCCAGUGCCAAGUACUUCCAAGCUCUUGGCAACACCUGACAGACAGAGCAGAGAAACAGAGAGUUGUCUUCCCUCCCAGAUACCAGGAGAGGCAGCACAGGUGACAGUUCAAGA
This is a long non-coding RNA of Seriola aureovittata, 580 nucleotides long. RefSeq lists it as uncharacterized. The transcript is spliced from 3 exons. Lineage: Eukaryota; Metazoa; Chordata; Actinopteri; Carangiformes; Carangidae. The record is from RefSeq and is a predicted model, not a curated record.